This 889-nucleotide ribosomal RNA is filed under the name Cladophora gracilis. RNAcentral describes it as "SSU rRNA". It matches the Rfam family "Eukaryotic small subunit ribosomal RNA", at positions 137 to 1038 of the family's 1831-position model. Lineage: Eukaryota; Viridiplantae; Chlorophyta; Ulvophyceae; Cladophorales; Cladophoraceae. The record is from RNAcentral.
ACUCGGAUAACCGUAGUAACACUAGAGCUAAUACGUGCGUAAAUCCCGACUUUUGGAAGGGACGUAUUUAUUAGAUUUAUGGCCAGCCGGGCUUGCCCGACCAGCGGUGAAUCAUGGUAACUUGACGGAUUGCAUGGCCUCCGUGCCGGCGACGUGUCAUUCAAGUUUCUGCCCCAUCAGGUUUCGACUGUAGUGUAUUGGACUACAGUGCCUAUAACGGGUAGCGGAGGAUUAGGGUUCGAUUCCGGAGAGGGAGCCUGAGAAACGGCUACCACAUCCAAGGAAGGCAGCAGGCGCGCAAAUUACCCAAUCCCAAUUCAGGGAGGUAGUGACAAGAAAUAGCAAUGCGGGGCUUCUUGCUCUGCAAUUGGAAUGAGAACAAUUUAAAUCACUUAACGAGUAUCAAUUGGAGGGCAAGUCUGGUGCCAGCAGCCGCGGUAAUUCCAGCUCCAAUAGCGUAUAUGUAAGUUGUUGCGAUUAAAAAGCCCGUAGCUGAACCUCGGGCAACCCUGACGGUCCGCGUUUCGUGAGUACUGUCGUGGGUUGUCUUUCUGGCAAGACCGUAUCUCGGUGUUAACUCGCCGGGAACGGCGCUUGCCAAGGUUACUUUGAGUAAAAUAGAGUGUUCAAAGCAAGCUCGCGCUCUGAAUACACUAGCAUGGGAUAACACGACAUGACCGAUGGUCUAUCUUGUUGGCCUGUAGACCUGUUGGUAAUGGCUAAUAGGGACGGUCGGGGGCAUUCGUAUUUCGCUGUCAGAGGUGAAAUUCUUGGAUUUGCGAAAGACGAACUACUGCGAAAGCAUUUGCCAAGGACGCUUUCAUUAGUCAAGGACGAAAGUCGGGGGAUCGAAGACGAUUAGAUACCGUCGUAGUCUCGACCAUAAACG